GACGAACGCUGGCGGCGUGCUUAACACAUGCAAGUCGAACGGAAAGGCCCUGCUUUUGUGGGGUGCUCGAGUGGCGAACGGGUGAGUAACACGUGAGUAACCUGCCCUUGACUUUGGGAUAACUUCAGGAAACUGGGGCUACUACCGGAUAGGAGCUCCUGCUGCAUGGUGGGGGUUGGAAAGUUUCGGCGGUUGGGGAUGGACUCGCGGCUUAUCAGCUUGUUGGUGGGGUAGUGGCUUACCAAGGCUUUGACGGGUAGCCGGCCUGAGAGGGUGACCGGCCACAUUGGGACUGAGAGAGGGCCCAGACUCCUACGGGAGGCAGCAGUGGGGAAUAUUGCACAAUGGGCGGAAGCCUGAUGCAGCAACGCCGCGGGCGGGAUGACGGCCUUCGGGGUGUAAACCGCUUUCGCCUGUGACGAAGCGGGAGUGACGGUAAUGGGUAAAGAAGCACCGGCUAACUACGUG
This 468-nucleotide ribosomal RNA is filed under the name uncultured bacterium. Its description in RNAcentral is "partial 16S ribosomal RNA". It matches the Rfam family "Bacterial small subunit ribosomal RNA", at positions 28 to 507 of the family's 1533-position model. The record is from RNAcentral.